This 738-nucleotide ribosomal RNA is filed under the name Chryseobacterium cucumeris. Its description in RNAcentral is "bacterial SSU rRNA". It matches the Rfam family "Bacterial small subunit ribosomal RNA", at positions 48 to 787 of the family's 1533-position model. Lineage: Bacteria; Pseudomonadati; Bacteroidota; Flavobacteriia; Flavobacteriales; Weeksellaceae. The record is from RNAcentral.
GCUACACAUGCAGCCGAGCGGUAGAGAUCUUUCGGGAUCUUGAGAGCGGCGUACGGGUGCGGAACACGUGUGCAACCUGCCUUUAUCUGGGGGAUAGCCUUUCGAAAGGAAGAUUAAUACCCCAUAAUAUACUGAAUGGCAUCAUUCGGUAUUGAAAACUCCGGUGGAUAGAGAUGGGCACGCGCAAGAUUAGAUAGUUGGUGAGGUAACGGCUCACCAAGUCUACGAUCUUUAGGGGGCCUGAGAGGGUGAUCCCCCACACUGGUACUGAGACACGGACCAGACUCCUACGGGAGGCAGCAGUGAGGAAUAUUGGACAAUGGGUGAGAGCCUGAUCCAGCCAUCCCGCGUGAAGGACGACGGCCCUAUGGGUUGUAAACUUCUUUUGUAUAGGGAUAAACCUACCCUCGUGAGGGUAGCUGAAGGUACUAUACGAAUAAGCACCGGCUAACUCCGUGCCAGCAGCCGCGGUAAUACGGAGGGUGCAAGCGUUAUCCGGAUUUAUUGGGUUUAAAGGGUCCGUAGGCGGAUCUGUAAGUCAGUGGUGAAAUCUCACAGCUUAACUGUGAAACUGCCAUUGAUACUGCAGGUCUUGAGUGUUGUUGAAGUAGCUGGAAUAAGUAGUGUAGCGGUGAAAUGCAUAGAUAUUACUUAGAACACCAAUUGCGAAGGCAGGUUACUAAGCAACAACUGACGCUGAUGGACGAAAGCGUGGGGAGCGAACAGGAUUAAAUACCC